UGGAUUAGUGGCGAACGGGUGAGUAACACGUGAGUAACCUGCCCUUGACUCUGGGAUAAGCACUGGAAACGGUGUCUAAUACCGGAUAUUUCAGCUGGCCGCAUGGUCUGGUUGUGGAAAGAAUUUUGGUCAAGGAUGGACUCGCGGCCUAUCAGGUUGUUGGUGAGGUAAUGGCUCACCAAGCCUACGACGGGUAGCCGGCCUGAGAGGGUGACCGGCCACACUGGGACUGAGACACGGCCCAGACUCCUACGGGAGGCAGCAGUGGGGAAUAUUGCACAAUGGGCGAAAGCCUGAUGCAGCAACGCCGCGUGAGGGACGACGGCCUUCGGGUUGUAAACCUCUUUUAGUAGGGAAGAAGCGAAAGUGACGGUACCUGCAGAAAAAGCACCGGCUAACUACGUGCCAGCAGCCGCGGUAAUACGUAGGGUGCAAGCGUUGUCCGGAAUUAUUGGGCGUAAAGAGCUCGUAGGCGGUUUGUCGCGUCUGCUGUGAAAACUGGAGGCUCAACCUCCAGCCUGCAGUGGGUACGGGCAGACUAGAGUGCGGUAGGGGAGAUUGGAAUUCCUGGUGUAGCGGUGGAAUGCGCAGAUAUCAGGAGGAACACCGAUGGCGAAGGCAGAUCUCUGGGCCGUAACUGACGCUGAGGAGCGAAAGCAUGGGGAGCGAACAGGAUUAGAUACCCUGGUAGUCCAUGCCGUAAACGUUGGGAACUAGAUGUGGGGGCCAUUCCACGGUCUCCGUGUCGCAGCUAACGCAUUAAGUUCCCCGCCUGGGGAGUACGGCCGCAAGGCUAAAACUCAAAGGAUUGACGG
This 815-nucleotide ribosomal RNA is filed under the name Agreia sp. Its description in RNAcentral is "bacterial SSU rRNA". It matches the Rfam family "Bacterial small subunit ribosomal RNA", at positions 88 to 916 of the family's 1533-position model. Lineage: Bacteria; Bacillati; Actinomycetota; Actinomycetes; Micrococcales; Microbacteriaceae. The record is from RNAcentral.